UAUCCACCAACUUAUCAGUCAUCCCCCUCCCCUUUAGCUGUAAGCCUGUAAUACAAACGCCGACCUAAAAUUAUCCCUCCAUAGAUAUUUCUGCUAGCACCAGGAACAUCUCUAUCGUAUUCAUUUCUAAAAGGGGUAUACAGCUUUCUCCAUUUGUAUCGAUGAAGGAAGAGACGAAAAUACAACAAUAGAAGAAAUUUCAGUUGAAGAAAAACUUACAAUGAAUCAAUCAUUGAUUGAUAGUCGAUGUUGAACUGAGAGACUGAAGAAACAAAACAUUGGGGGUUGAAGAUAUCAAUAGUGAAGGUAAGAGAUCAUCAAUUGUUUGUCAAUCUUAGUUUUUUUUAAGAGAACACACAUUAUUUGGAAGACAAUUUUACCUGAUUUUUUUUUUUUUUUUUUUUUGCAGAAAUGUUGUAUUUGAAGAUGUUUGACAGAAGAUCUGCAAAAUAAUACCUUCAAAUUCUUUAACUCUGGAAACAUAAUCAGGUAGCUUUCCAUUUACUUAAAACUUUGAAGGUUAAAUUCGAAUUCUGUUAGUAUUUGCUUAAAAUAUUAGGCAAAAUAUUUACUGAUCAAUUUGAGUAAAUAAGAGAUUUAUUUUGUUUCAUAUACCUUCCAAAUUAAAAUUUAUCUUUGUAUAUUAUUUAACAGUUUGGAUAUAUCUACAUAUAUGAUUUUAAAAAAGCAUAGGGUUCUUGAACUCCAAAUCGUGAAAAGGGGCUCUAGAUGAGUAAAGUAAAGAAUGGAAAACAAAGUACUUAAAAAUUCAAUCCUCAAAAUCCCAAAUUAACAUUCAGAAUUAAUAGAAAAAGAGAAAAAAAAAAUCAUGUCCAGUAAAGAAUCUCUAAUCUUAGUGUGAUUAUAUAAAGCCUUUCUAUCCAAAUCAAACUCUGUUUUGGUAUAAAAAUGUUAAAGUAUGAUUAGGUAAAAUAUUAAUCUUUUAGACAAUACAAUAUAAAUUAUCAUGAUUAUAGCAUGUUACGGGCAAGCGUAAAAUUAUCAAAUUAUAAAGAUGGAAAAAUUAAAAAAAUGGAAAGAGUGACAUAAAAAAGUUUACAGAACAUGUCUUGUUUACUUUUGUAUAAAACGCUAUUAGGGAAUUAUUAUUAAAGUAAAAGUCUAUUAACUAAUUUACCAUGAUCAGUUUUGUAAAGUUGAAUUUGAAAAUAAUAAAAAUGCAAACAAUAUAAAUAAACUAUCACAAAUAUGUACAAAUGCACUAAAGGGUAAAAUUGUCAAAUUACAAAACUGGAAAGUAUGGCAUUAGGUCAAUGUGGUAAGACUCUUUUGAAAGUAACCAUAAAAAAUAGCAAUGUACUUCUAAAAAAAGUAUAAGCAAAACCAUGAAAUCCCAAAAAAAAUCCAUCCAAAGCCAAGAUGUUAUAUUUGAAAUAAAGCUACAUAUUUAUUUAAAAAACAAUUUAUACAUCAUAAAUAUUGUUUUAAAAAAGAUAAGUAAGAUAUUAAAAUUAAUGUAUAUAAAAAAAACUACAAUAAAAGGAUAUUACCAUACAAAAUAGUAUAAUCACAAAAGUACAAUUUAAUUAUCAAAAUGAUAUAAUUUUUGUUAUAAAAAUGUUAUAACAGAAAAAAAUAUAUAUAUAAUUGAAAAAAACAAAUGAAAAGUUAGGCUUUGAUUAAAGUAAAGUGUNNNNNNNNNNNNNNNNNNNNNNNNUACAUUGUCCUUUUUGUCUUUUGAGUACAAAAUUCAAAUAAUACAAAUUUGUGUUAUAGAACUGUUAAAACAGAAAGUAUGAUGUUAUAAAUGAAAAAAUCAAACUCUGUUAUAAAUUAAAAAUUAACUGUCCUUUUUGCCCUUCGAUUAGAAAAAUGUAAAAUCUGAAAAAAUAAAGGAAGAAUUUCAGAAUUUUUUUUUUGGAAAAAACAAUUUCUUAAACAUUCUUUCAUUACGGAAAAAAUAAUUUUGUUUGACUGUCACACAAACACAUACAGUAACAUAAACGCAAUCACAAAAAAGCAUCCAAAUCAACCAUUAAUAAGACAGUAAGUUCAAUAUAUUUCCCUUUUUGCCCUAUGAGUAAAGAAAUGGUAUAAUAAAAAAAUUUGUUGCAGAAAACUUUGAUGUAUGCUAUGUAAUGGAGUUUUCUUAAAGUAAGAUUUUCGACUGUAACACACACUCAAACAUAGUUACUGUUUGUCAUAUACAUGAAUGUAAGAUGCUAUAAAAUGGAGUUUUCAUUGUAUUUUCAGAAAAUAAAAAGCGACAUACCAGAUGGAUUGAACAGGUGCAGACUGAAAAGAAAAAGACGCCAGAAGAAGAUGAAAUUUUAAGGAGAAAAUAAUUUUGUUUUGGGGUUCGGUUUUUAUAACCGGUAAAUAAAUGAAUAUGAUGUAUAUUUGGUAUAAGAUUAAUAUAUUUAAAAAUAAAUGCAGAUUUAAGGGAUAUAGUAAAUCAAAAUAAUUUAAAUUUCAUUGAUAUGAUUUAGUCAAACGUAAUAUAUAUAUAUAU
RNAcentral lists this long non-coding RNA (2473 nucleotides) under Lactuca sativa (garden lettuce). RNAcentral's name for it is "long non-coding RNA (LSAT_LNC000097)". Lineage: Eukaryota; Viridiplantae; Streptophyta; Magnoliopsida; Asterales; Asteraceae. The record is from RNAcentral.